AUUGAACGCUGGCGGCAGGCCUAACACAUGCAAGUCGGGCGGAUGAAGGGAGCUUGCUCCUGGAUUCAGCGGCGGACGGGCGAGUAAUGCCUAGGAAUCUGCCUGGUAGUGGGGGAUAACGUCCGGAAACGGGCGCUAAUACCGCAUACGUCCUGAGGUAGAAAGUGGGGGAUCUUCGGACCUCACGCUAUCAGAUGAGCCUAGGUCGUAUUAGCUAGUUGGUGAGGUAAAGGCCUACCAAGGCGACGAUCCGUAACUGAUCUGAGAGGAUGAUCAGUCACACUGGAACUGAGACACGGUCCAGUCUCCUACGGGAGGCAGCAGUAGGGAAUAUUGGACAAUGGGCGAAUGCCUGAUGCAGCAAUGCCGCGUGUGUGAAGAAGGUCUUCGGAUUGUAAAGCACUUUUAGUUGGGAAGAAGGGCAGUAAGUUAAUACCUUGCUGUUUUGACGUUACCAACAGAAUAAGCACCGGCUAACUUCGUG
RNAcentral lists this ribosomal RNA (484 nucleotides) under uncultured bacterium. RNAcentral describes it as "partial 16S ribosomal RNA". It matches the Rfam family "Bacterial small subunit ribosomal RNA", at positions 30 to 507 of the family's 1533-position model. The record is from RNAcentral.